This 497-nucleotide ribosomal RNA is filed under the name uncultured bacterium. Its description in RNAcentral is "partial 16S ribosomal RNA". It matches the Rfam family "Bacterial small subunit ribosomal RNA", at positions 28 to 507 of the family's 1533-position model. The record is from RNAcentral.
GAUGAACGCUGGCGGCGUGCCUAAUACAUGCAAGUCGAGCGAACAGACGAGGAGCUUGCUCCUCUGACGUUAGCGGCGGACGGGUGAGUAACACGUGGAUAACCUACCUAUAAGACUGGGAUAACUUCGGGAAACCGGAGCUAAUACCGGAUAAUAUAUUGAACCGCAUGGUUCAAUAGUGAAAGACGGUUUUGCUGUCACUUAUAGAUGGAUCCGCGCCGCAUUAGCUAGUUGGUAAGGUAACGGCUUACCAAGGCAACGAUGCGUAGCCGACCUGAGAGGGUGAUCGGCCGCACUGGAACUGAGACACGGUCCAGACUCCUAAGGGAGGCAGCAGUAGGGAAUCUUCCGCAAUGGGCGAAAGCCUGACGGAACAACGCCGCGUGAGUGAUGAAGGUCUUCGGAUCGGAAAACUCUGUUAUUAGGGAAGAACAAAUGUGGAAGUAACUAUGCACGUCUUGACGGUACCUAAUCAGAAAGCCACGGCUAACUACGUG